GCCGGAGUGGUGGAAUUGGCAGACACGUAGCGUUCAGGGCGCUAUGACCGCGAGGUCGUGAGGGUUCAACUCCCUCCUCCGGCACCA
This 87-nucleotide transfer RNA is filed under the name Candidatus Tayloriibacteriota bacterium. Its description in RNAcentral is "Candidatus Taylorbacteria bacterium (sediment metagenome) tRNA-Leu". It matches the Rfam family "tRNA". From Rfam's summary of the family: Transfer RNA (tRNA) molecules are approximately 80 nucleotides in length. Their secondary structure includes four short double-helical elements and three loops (D, anti-codon, and T loops). Further hydrogen bonds mediate the characteristic L-shaped molecular structure. tRNAs have two regions of fundamental functional importance: the anti-codon, which is responsible for specific mRNA codon recognition, and the 3' end, to which the tRNAs corresponding amino acid is attached (by aminoacyl-tRNA synthetases). tRNAs cope with the degeneracy of the genetic code in two manners: having more than one tRNA (with a specific anti-codon) for a particular amino acid; and 'wobble' base-pairing, i.e. permitting non-standard base-pairing at the 3rd anti-codon position. The record is from RNAcentral. Lineage: Bacteria; Candidatus Tayloriibacteriota.